Long non-coding RNA from Clupea harengus (Atlantic herring), 1603 nucleotides. The record is from Ensembl. NCBI's taxonomy places the organism in Eukaryota, Metazoa, Chordata, Actinopteri, Clupeiformes, Clupeidae.
ACAUGCAUGGCUCGUCAACCUUGAUCUACGUUGAGAAAGAUUUGAAAGCCCCUCUCACGAGCUGGAAAACGAUUUUCAUUUGAACCUUUAGUGCUGUGUCUCAUUUUAACCAAAGUGCAUUAUCUUUUUGUUUGUGAUAGUGGGCAUUUUCACAUCUCUCAUCUUUAGCAAACUAUCAAUUGUAUUGAGUGGAUACACACUUUUUGUUUCUAAACACACAAUACAACGUUUUUAUUGCAAAGAUACAUCAUGACAAUAAUGAAUUUGUCUGACGCAGACACACACUCACACACAUACUCUACCUCAUCCUACCCUGCAGCCCCAAUGGUCCCAAAUGAUUGCAAAUAAGUCAAGUCUGCUUUAACAUCAGUAAGGGGAAACUGGUAGAAGAGAGUUUUUAUAUGGUAAGUAACUACUGGUAACUGGUAAGUAACUACUGGUGAAGAGUUUAGGCAGGUGGCACAAUUCCACGUUGAGUGACUGAGGACAGGUUGAAGAGCUUAGAGAAUUCAUUGUUAAGGCUAUCAAUACCAUUGAUAAGACCUUCUUGCCUGGUAAAUGGAAAUUGUGGUGCUUGCAGUUGGGGCUACAUAUGGUGGCAUUUGACUGUAUGAAGUUGCUAGUGUUGUAGAACUCAAGUCCAGGAUUGUUGAGAAGAGAAAGAUCAGCUGGAGAUAGUUGUGGGCUAUGGAUGCUAAUCACUCCCCACAACUAUCUACUAGAACCUCAGUCAGUGGGUGGGUGAAGACAGAAGCUGCAAGUUGUGUAUGACUGUUGACUCAUUCUGUUUGGUUAUAAAACUACCUUGAUUUGGAGAUUGCUUGUUAUCUCGGAAGGCAACUUCAAGUUCCAGUGUGUUGUUGUGACUGCUAUGACAUCAAACAUGGUGGUAUAUUCUGAACAAGCGUCGUACGUCACAUACCUAAGGAACCAAUCCUGUCAACUUGCGGGGUGGGGCUUUAUAUAUAAUUGACCGCCCGCUCCCACCUGCAGCAAAGCAUUAGGGGUUUUAUCAAUGCCAGAGGAGCAACUUUAACAAAAAGCAUCUGAGAACAGUUGGGUCUUAAGUCUGGAUUUGAAACUGGCUACAGUUAAUCUAUUGCUGAAUAUGGUGGUUGUGCCAAGGCCUUUGCACCGUGUUCUUCAAGCAACCUAAUUCCCUAUUGAAGGCACAUAACUUGCAAAACUAUUUUAUGAAAUAAAGAAAUAAACAGGCAUCUUUCACCCUCAAACCAUUUGUUCAUUCCUUACUCAAUGUGAUCUCUGGACACUGGGUAAUUAUAGCCUAACAUGCCCUCCCCCUUGUGUCGCAGCUGGAUGUUAAAGGCUUUGAUUGCAUGUCAUCUAUUUUCAUAUUCUGCCUGAGUUAUGUCCCAUAAAGCCAGCGUGUGGCACAGGCUAAUAAUACCCAGUGUCACAUUUCAAAUAAAAAAAGCGCUAUUUAUAUCCCUUCUCAUUAACCUGUGUUGCAUUUGGGUAUAACUCACGCUGCUUUCAUCAGCCACCUGCAGGUCACUGGGCCACUUAUCCUCCUCUGUCUGCCCCCGCCAAACUGCCGUCACAAGCUGCCCAGACAUUACCCAUCAGCCCACCACAACCAGAC